GUUUCGAUCAGGCGAAGGGUAAAGACAAGAUAACGUGAUGUCCUUGCUUAUCUGAUGUUUUGGAUGGCUUUUUCGUUAUGUAGAUAAUGAUCUAGUUCCUAGUUUUAUUUCGGGCACCUUUGUGUAUAUUUAGUGUCAUUUAGUGUUUUCUUUUGGGCAUGUAAUAUGUACAUUGUUGCCUCUAGGUGCUUAUGUAUUUCAGUAUCAGUAUUAC
This 214-nucleotide long non-coding RNA is filed under the name Lathyrus oleraceus (garden pea). Its description in RNAcentral is "Pisum sativum (pea) long non-coding RNA (PSAT_LNC022475)". The record is from RNAcentral. Lineage: Eukaryota; Viridiplantae; Streptophyta; Magnoliopsida; Fabales; Fabaceae.